Molecule: unclassified non-coding RNA, 336 nt
Filed under: soil metagenome
Description: partial contains 5.8S ribosomal RNA, internal transcribed spacer 2, and large subunit ribosomal RNA
Rfam family: 5.8S ribosomal RNA (bases 1-120)
Source: RNAcentral
GUUGAAGAACGUAGCGAAAUGCGAUAAGUAAUGUGAAUUGCAGAAUUCAGUGAAUCAUCGAAUCUUUGAACGCACAUUGCGCCCGCCAGUAUUCUGGCGGGCAUGCCUGUUCGAGCGUCAUUUCAACCAUCAUGCCCCAGGCUUGUGUUGGGGACCUGCGGCUGCCGCAGGCCCUGAAAACCAGUGGCGGGCUCGCUGUCACACCGGGCGUAAUAGAUUUUAUCUCGCUCAGGGCGUGCUGCGGGUCCCGGCCGUUAAAAGCCUUUUUUUACCCAAGGUUGACCUCGGAUCAGGUAGGAAGACCCGCUGAACUUAAGCAUAUCAAUAAGCGGAGGA